UACGUAGGGGGCAAGCGUUGUCCGGAAUCACUGGGCGUAAAGGGCGUGUAGGCGGUCAAGUAAGUGGAAUGUGAAAGCCCCCGGCUUACCCGGGGAUCUGCAUCCCAAACUGCUUGGCUUGAGUACGGGAGAGGAUAGGGGAAUUCCUGGUGUAGCGGUGAAAUGCGUAGAUAUCAGGAGGAACACCGGUGGCGAAGGCGCCUAUCUGGCCCGAUACUGACGCUGAGGCGCGAAAGCUAGGGGAGCAAACGGG
This 253-nucleotide ribosomal RNA is filed under the name uncultured bacterium. RNAcentral's name for it is "partial 16S ribosomal RNA". It matches the Rfam family "Bacterial small subunit ribosomal RNA", at positions 524 to 776 of the family's 1533-position model. The record is from RNAcentral.